AUUGAACGCUGGCGGAAUGCUUUACACAUGCAAGUCGAACGGCAGCACGGGGGCAACCCUGGUGGCGAGUGGCGAACGGGUGAGUAAUACAUCGGAACGUGCCCGGUCGUGGGGGAUAACGUAGCGAAAGUUACGCUUAUACCGCAUACGAUCUGAGGAUGAAAGCGGGGGACCUUCGGGCCUCGCGCGAUCGGAGCGGCCGAUGUCAGAUUAGGUAGUUGGUGGGGUAAAGGCCUACCAAGCCGACGAUCUGUAGCUGGUCUGAGAGGACGACCAGCCACACUGGGACUGAGACACGGCCCAGACUCCUACGGGAGGCAGCAGUGGGGAAUUUUGGACAAUGGGCGCAAGCCUGAUCCAGCCAUUCCGCGUGCAGGACGAAGGCCUUCGGGUUGUAAACUGCUUUUGUAUGGAACGAAAAGGCUCUGGCUAAUACCUGGGGUUCAUGACGGUACCGUAAGAAUAAGCACCGGCUAACUACGUG
This 484-nucleotide ribosomal RNA is filed under the name uncultured bacterium. RNAcentral describes it as "partial 16S ribosomal RNA". It matches the Rfam family "Bacterial small subunit ribosomal RNA", at positions 30 to 507 of the family's 1533-position model. The record is from RNAcentral.